GUAGUAGGAUUCGCAUCAAUCCACAUGUGUUGGAGUGGAACUUGAACUAAAUUCCACCCCAAUCCACUCCAACACAUGUGGAUUGAGGUGAAUCCGACA
MicroRNA precursor from Sorghum bicolor (sorghum), 99 nucleotides. It matches the Rfam family "MIR5565 microRNA precursor family". NCBI's taxonomy places the organism in Eukaryota, Viridiplantae, Streptophyta, Magnoliopsida, Poales, Poaceae. The record is from Rfam.